UGCAAUACAUUUGUGCAACUGCAGACUUUGCAUUGGGAAAAUUAUCAGUGACAGUGUUGACAUAUCCUCGAACGGAUUCUUUCCUACAGUUCAAAUGAAGCUAGCACUGAAUGAGAA
Molecule: long non-coding RNA, 117 nt
Organism: Etheostoma cragini (Arkansas darter)
Lineage: Eukaryota; Metazoa; Chordata; Actinopteri; Perciformes; Percidae
Exons: 3
Source: RefSeq, a predicted model, not a curated record